This is a small nuclear RNA of Rhipicephalus sanguineus (brown dog tick), 195 nucleotides long. RefSeq annotates it as U2 spliceosomal RNA. The record is from RefSeq and is a predicted model, not a curated record. The transcript has a single exon. Lineage: Eukaryota; Metazoa; Arthropoda; Arachnida; Ixodida; Ixodidae.
AGCCCUUUUCUCUCCUGAAUGAAUAAACAUGAAUAAACAAACUCUGUUCUUAUCAGCUUAAAUCUGAUACGGGUCCUAUUUGGGCCCAAGAUAUUAAACUUAUUUUGGAACGGGGCGGAGCGCUUGGAGCUUGCUUCACCUCCGCCACGGGUUAGCCCGGUAUUGCACUCAUCCUCCGGGAUCGGCCUACUCACC